UACGUAGGGGGCAAGCGUUGUCCGGAUUUAUUGGGCGUAAAGAGCGUGUAGGCGGCCAGACAGGUCCGUUGUGAAAACUCGAGGCUCAACCUCGAGAUGUCGAUGGAAACCGUCUGGCUAGAGUCCGGAAGAGGAGUGUGGAAUUCCUGGUGUAGCGGUGAAAUGCGCAGAUAUCAGGAAGAACACCUAUGGCAAAGGCAGCCCUCUGGGACGGUACUGACGCUGAGACGCGAAAGCGUGGGGAGCGAACAGG
This 253-nucleotide ribosomal RNA is filed under the name uncultured bacterium. Its description in RNAcentral is "partial 16S ribosomal RNA". It matches the Rfam family "Bacterial small subunit ribosomal RNA", at positions 524 to 776 of the family's 1533-position model. The record is from RNAcentral.